Molecule: ribosomal RNA, 487 nt
Filed under: uncultured Pseudomonadota bacterium
Lineage: Bacteria; Pseudomonadati; Pseudomonadota
Description: bacterial SSU rRNA
Rfam family: Bacterial small subunit ribosomal RNA
Source: RNAcentral
AGAGUUUGAUCCUGGCUCAGAUUGAACGCUGGCGGCAUGCUUUACACAUGCAAGUCGAACGGUAACAGGGACCUUGGUCCGCUGACGAGUGGCGAACGGGUGAGUAAUGCAUCGGAACGUGCCGUGUAAUGGGGGAUAACGUAGCGAAAGUUACGCUAAUACCGCAUACGCCGUGAGCGGGAAAGCGGGGGACCGCAAGGCCUCACGUUAUACGAGCGGCCGAUGUCGGAUUAGCUAGUUGGUGGGGUAAAGGCCUACCAAGGCGACGAUCCGUAGCGGGUCUGAGAGGAUGAUCCGCCACACUGGGACUCAGACACGCCCCAGACUCCUACGGGAGGCAGCAGUGGGGAAUUUUGGACAAUGGGGGCAACCCUGAUCCAGCCAUGCCGCGUGAGUGAAGAAGGCCUUCGGGUUGUAAAGCUCUUUCAGCUGGAAAGAAAUCGCAUCUUUUAAUACAGGGUGUGGAUGACGGUACCAGCAGAAGAAG